This 301-nucleotide ribosomal RNA is filed under the name uncultured bacterium. Its description in RNAcentral is "partial 16S ribosomal RNA". It matches the Rfam family "Bacterial small subunit ribosomal RNA", at positions 509 to 808 of the family's 1533-position model. The record is from RNAcentral.
CAGCCGCCGCGGUAAGACAGAGGAUGCAAGCGUUAUCUGGAAUGAUUGGGCGUAAAGCGACUGUAGGUGGCUUUUCAAGUCUGCAGUCAAAUCCCGAGGCUCAACCCUGGACAGGCGGCGGAAACUACCAAGAUGGAGUACGGUAGGGGCAGAGGGAAUUUCCGGCGGAGCGGUGAAAUGCGUUGAGAUCGGAAAGAACACCAACGGUGAAAGCACUCUGCUGGGCCGACACUGACGCUGAGAGACGAAAGUUAGGGGAGAAAAUGGGAUUAGAUACCCCAGUAGUCCCUGUCUCUUAUAC